CCCUUAGACGUCCUGGGCCGCACGCGCGCUACAAUGACUCAUGCAACAAGUUCUUCCAAACUCGAAAGAGGUCAGGAAAUCUUUAUAAUGUGAGUCGUACUAGUAGGGAUUGAUCUUUGCAAUUCUGGAUCAUGAACGAGGAAUUCCUAGUAAGCAUAAGUCAUCAACUUGUGCUGAUUACGUCCCUGCCCUUUGUACACACCGCCCGUCGCUCCUACCGAUUGAAGUUUUCGGUGAGUUGACAGGAGGAUUUUUUUGAAACUGGUUCGCCAGUGGAUUUUAGAUCCAAAUGCCAACGAAUCGAUGGCUUUAGAGGAAGGAGAAGUCGUAACA
RNAcentral lists this ribosomal RNA (333 nucleotides) under uncultured eukaryote. RNAcentral describes it as "partial 18S ribosomal RNA". It matches the Rfam family "Eukaryotic small subunit ribosomal RNA", at positions 1470 to 1796 of the family's 1831-position model. The record is from RNAcentral.